Molecule: ribosomal RNA, 429 nt
Filed under: bacterium
Lineage: Bacteria
Description: partial 16S ribosomal RNA
Rfam family: Bacterial small subunit ribosomal RNA
Source: RNAcentral
UAGGGAAUCUUCCACAAUGGACGCAAGUCUGAUGGAGCAACGCCGCGUGAGUGAAGAAGGUUUUCGCAUCGUAAAGCUCUGUUGUUGGUGAAGAAGGAUAGAGGCAGUAACUGGUCUUUAUUUGACGGUAAUCAACCAGAAAGUCACGGCUAACUACGUGCCAGCAGCCGCGGUAAUACGUAGGUGGUAAGCGUUGUCCGGAUUUAUUGGGCGGAAAGCGAGCGCAGGCGGAAUGAUAAGUCUGAUGUGAAAGCCCACGGCUCAACCGUGGAACUGCAUCGGAAACUGUCAUUCUUGAGUGCAGAAGAGGAGAGUGGAAUUCCAUGUGUAGCGGUGGAAUGCGUAGAUAUAUGGAAGAACACCAGUGGCGAAGGCGGCUCUCUGGUCUGCAACUGACGCUGAGGCUCGAAAGCAUGGGUAGCGAACAGG